CCAGGACCAAGGUCAGCAGCAGGCGCGAAAAUUAUCGAAGCCCGCCUAGGGGCGAUAGUGAGGAGACGUGUAUAACGAAGUACGUGUAAAGGACGUGCUAAUAACUGGAGGUCAAGUCUGGUGCCAGCAUCCGCGGUAAUUCCAGCUCCAGGGGUGUCUAUGAUGAUUGCUGCGAUUAAAAAGUCCGUAGUCAAUCUGACUGACUGACCUGCAAUGUGAUUGAUUAAAGAACGAGCAGGGUUAGGAAAGCAGAGAAUUAGGAGCGACCGAGGGCUAGAGUAUUGAAUGGCGAGAGGUGAAAUUUGAUGACCCAUUCAGGAGUGACAAAGGCGAAGGCACUAGUCAAGGGCGAAUCCGAUGAUCAAGGACGUAGGCUAGAGUUUCGAAAACGAUUAGAGACCGGAGUAGUUCUAGCAGUAAACUAUGCCGACGCCGUGGUAUCAACAAUGGUAUUGCGGAAGAGAAAUCAAGUAAGGCUUUGGGGAGAGUACGCGCGCAAGCGAUAAAUU
This 509-nucleotide ribosomal RNA is filed under the name Dictyocoela sp. 2 JEI-2011. RNAcentral's name for it is "partial small subunit ribosomal RNA". It matches the Rfam family "Microsporidia small subunit ribosomal RNA", at positions 269 to 778 of the family's 1311-position model. The record is from RNAcentral. Lineage: Eukaryota; Fungi; Microsporidia.